UGGAUGCCUUUUCUGCACCCUGUGCCUCGUAUACUCAACCUCUGAGGGCUGCACCAGCCUGGCCCCAGCAGGUCGCACGGCACGACCCACUCCGGACACUGCUGUGUUCACCUUCUGGCGUCCUGUCACGUUGUUGGUUCUAGAGCAGUAGCUGCUUGCAGAGUGAUACUACAACUUUGUAAGGUCCACAAGCUCCCCGCUGCUUUUGUUUGUGCGUAGUAAAAGUUGAAUUUUGAGAAGGGGAAAAAGGGUGCUUCCUUGAUUUUUAUACUCAAAAAACUAUAAACAAUUUGAGAUACCAAAAUGCACUUUAUUUUUAGCUUACAUCACGAGAAAGAGCAGCAAAUGAUUAUAACCAGAAGUUAAAGGAAAAAUUUCAGUACCAUCCACAUGUGAAACGGAUUGCUCGCCACCGACAUCUGCCAAAAUCUAUCUACAGCCAGAUUCAGGAGCAGCGUGUUAUGAAGGAGGCUCGUCGCCGCAAGGAAAUGAAUCGUCGUAAACAUAGCAAGCCUGGAUCUGUGCCAGUUGUGUCAGAGAGGAAGAAACACGUAGUGGCGGUUGUGAAAUAAUGUUUUGUCUUCCUACCAAGCUUGAUAUAUAAUUAUUUGCUACUUUUGAUUUGGGAACUCUGUAAAUAAAAGUCCUGGCCCUGGUUAAUAGU
This 664-nucleotide long non-coding RNA is filed under the name Rattus norvegicus (Norway rat). Its description in RNAcentral is "long non-coding RNA NONRATT026894". Lineage: Eukaryota; Metazoa; Chordata; Mammalia; Rodentia; Muridae. The record is from RNAcentral.